GGAGAGGUGGCAGAGUGGUUGAAUGCGGCAGUCUCGAAAAUUGCUAAGGGGUAACACCCUUCGGGGGUUCGAAUCCCCCCCUCUCCG
Cyanobacterium stanieri PCC 7202 is the source of this 87-nucleotide transfer RNA. It matches the Rfam family "tRNA". From Rfam's summary of the family: Transfer RNA (tRNA) molecules are approximately 80 nucleotides in length. Their secondary structure includes four short double-helical elements and three loops (D, anti-codon, and T loops). The record is from Rfam. Lineage: Bacteria; Bacillati; Cyanobacteriota; Cyanophyceae; Chroococcales; Geminocystaceae.